Molecule: long non-coding RNA, 341 nt
Organism: Fopius arisanus
Lineage: Eukaryota; Metazoa; Arthropoda; Insecta; Hymenoptera; Braconidae
Exons: 3
Source: RefSeq, a predicted model, not a curated record
GAAACAUUUGAAUUUUUCCGUGGAUAAAAAAAAAACGGGAGAAAUGUGGAGGGCGAAAUGCUUUUUCUUUGCAGGAGUCAUUCUUUCAGAGAAUCAACUUUUAAAUAACGAACCGUAUAUGGUUGUACUUGGCUAAAUAAGACAGCUACGUGGUAGGUUGAAUUACUCGAGUUUCUUACCUUCGAAUUGGUCCACCGACUCAUCUAGCCAUAAUCGGUGAAGAUGAUGUUUUGUAUCAAAAUGUAAACAAUUACGAAAUGAUUCGAGUUCAGUCAUCGUUAUAUUUAUGGCUCAAGUUUAUUGGAUCUAGGUGAGGCCGUAGAUCCUUUAGUCGAUCGAUA